ACCCUGCGGAACAUUUAAAAUCGAAUUCACUAUGGAGUUGUUGCUGGCCUCUAGGCGGCAUGUGCACGCUUCACUAGUCUUUCAACCACCUGUGAACUUUUGAUAGAUCUGUGAAGUCGUCCUUCAAGUCGUCAGACUUGGUUUGCUGGGAUUUAAACGUCUCGGUGUGACAACGCAGUCUAUUUACUUAACACACCCCAAAUGUAUGUCUACGAAUGUCAUUUAAUGGGCCUUGUGCCUAUAAACCAUAAUACAACUUUCAACAACGGAUCUCUUGGCUCUCGCAUCGAUGAAGAACGCAGCGAAAUGCGAUAAGUAAUGUGAAUUGCAGAAUUCAGUGAAUCAUCGAAUCUUUGAACGCACCUUGCGCCCCUUGGUAUUCCGAGGGGCAUGCCUGUUUGAGUGUCAUUAAAUUCUCAAACUCACAUUUAUUUGUGAUGUUUGGAUUGUUGGGGGUUGCUGGCUGUAACAAGUCGGCUCCUCUUAAAUGCAUUAGCAGGACUUCUCAUUGCCUCUGCGCAUGAUGUGAUAAUUAUCACUCAUCAAUAGCACGCAUGAAUAGAGUCCAGCUCUCUAAUCGUCCGCAAGGACAAUUUGACAAUUUGACCUCCAAAUCAGGUAGGACUACCCGCUGAACUUAAGCAUAUCAAUAAGCGGAGGAAAAGAAACUAACAAGGAUUCCCCUAGUAACUGCGAGUGAAGCGGGAAAAGCUCAAAUUUAAAAUCUGGUGGUCUUUGGCCAUCCGAGUUGUAAUCUAGAGAAGUGUUAUCCGCGCUGGACGUCAAAUUUUUUUUUCCCAGAGAGAAA
Molecule: ribosomal RNA, 808 nt
Filed under: Pleurotus sp. IOO-2013c
Lineage: Eukaryota; Fungi; Basidiomycota; Agaricomycetes; Agaricales; Pleurotaceae
Description: eukaryotic LSU rRNA
Rfam family: 5.8S ribosomal RNA (bases 255-408)
Source: RNAcentral